This 69-nucleotide transfer RNA is filed under the name Triatoma sanguisuga (bloodsucking conenose). RNAcentral's name for it is "tRNA-Gln". The record is from RNAcentral. Lineage: Eukaryota; Metazoa; Arthropoda; Insecta; Hemiptera; Reduviidae.
UAUAUUUUGGUGUAGGAUGCACAAGGAGUUUUGAUCUCCUAAGAUUUAGUUUGAAUCUAAAAAAUAUAA